This 365-nucleotide long non-coding RNA is filed under the name Dermacentor andersoni. Its description in RNAcentral is "uncharacterized LOC126529750". The record is from RNAcentral. Lineage: Eukaryota; Metazoa; Arthropoda; Arachnida; Ixodida; Ixodidae.
UGCCUUUGUUUAUGGUUGUGGUAUUGGUGGCACGAGCCGUAUACGCAUUGAAGGAUACGUCGGCUUCUUUCAGCUGCCAUGCCUUAACCACAGUUUCUUCUUCAAUAGCGUAUGUCCUCGCAGACCUGUAGAAUUUGUUGUGAUGUGGCCUUGGAAAGAACUUGUGGAGGUGCCGCUUUAGCCGUACAACGAGGAGCUGGAUCCAAGUCGUCCGCCGGACUACCAUCGGUGGAUAUACGGCCCUCAUUAGACACCGCCGCAGAACUUGGUCAAAAAGCGGCUGUAUACGUAGAGAAUAAGAUCCAGCACCUUAUUUCUACUGUAGAGCAAUUUAUGAAAAUGAAGAAUAUAAUUAUUGCGUGAAA